CAUACGGACAAACAUACACAUGUAAACACAAGCAAGUGUAAAUAUAUGUAUGAUCUCAUUUUACAUGUGUUAUAAAAAUUAAGGUUAAAAAUAUUAACAGUGAUAAUUUUUAGGCUUACAAACACGAUGUCUAAAUAUGUUUAUAUAUAUACUUAAUAUUCACACAUGUAUGUGUUUAUAUUAGUGUUACAUGUAAAUAGGUUUAUAUUUUUAAAUGCCAUCUCUAUUUUCCACCGUAUAAGUUAAAAUGUUUUUUUUUCUCCAAAAUGCAUCUUCUAAUUUACUUAACAUAAUUAAUAGCUUUUUAAGUAUAUCUUUAAAGAACAUAUUUAUAUAAAAUAAAAAAAAAAAAAAAAAAAAAAAAAAAAGUGUUAACACAGCGAUGUUAUAAUAUGUUAUCGGUGUGGUAGUUUUAUAUCUUGAUACCCCGAUGACCUACGCUUUGAAAAGCCACUUUAACAAUUCAUCUGUUCGAAUCAAUUAAAAUCAGUUUGAAAAAAAAUGUAUUUUUUUGUCAAAGGCUCCCGCUAUAAGUAAGUACUUUUUAUUUUCUUGUAUAGUAGUUAAGUCAGUUUCGAUAGAGGAUGGACAUAUAAAUUUGUGUAAUAACUGGAAACAUUUAAUUUUAUAACCUUUAUCAAUAACAUUGAUAACAUUUCCACUUUUUAUAUCAAAUAUUAAAAUGUGAUUACUAUUUGCAUUAUUAUCUGACGAAAUAUAUAUAUAAUUACCAUUUGUAUCUAUUUGGAUAUAUGGAAAAGACAAAGUAUUUAAUACACAACCGUAUAUUUUUUGAAUGAAUAUAUGAUAUGUUAAUGAAUAAACAAAUAAUGUUGAUGUAUCUGUACAUAUAACUAAUAUAUUUUUUUUUUUAUUAUAUUCUAUAUUUAAAAUAUUAUAUUUUUUUGUUGAUUCGAACAGUACUAGUUUAUUUUGUAUUUGACAUGUUUUACUGUUUAUAAAAAGUAUAUGAUUAGAAUUUAACAUACUAAUAACUAUCAUCUCAGUAUUAUUAUUAUUAUUAUUAUUAUUAUUAUUAUUAUUAUUAUUNNUAUUAUUAUUAUUAUUAUUAUUAUUAUUAUUAUUAUUAUUAUUUUUUAGCCAUAAUACACUUGUUGGUAUAUCAAAUAAUCCUAUAAUAUGUUUUUUUUCAUAAUUAAUCAAUUCUUUAUUAUUAAAAUCAUCACUAUGUUCAUUCUCAUUCAUUUUUUCAUAAAUAAUUAAAUUUUUGUCAUUUGCUAUGGAACAAAAUAAAGAAUAAUCUUCAUUAAAUAAACA
Molecule: long non-coding RNA, 1278 nt
Filed under: Piliocolobus tephrosceles (Ugandan red Colobus)
Lineage: Eukaryota; Metazoa; Chordata; Mammalia; Primates; Cercopithecidae
Description: lncRNA (ENSPTEG00000008951.1)
Source: RNAcentral